AAGGGGGUAGUUUAAUAGAAAAUAUAAGGUUGUCGACCUUUUGAUGUCUUUUGAGACUUCCCUUU
RNAcentral lists this transfer RNA (65 nucleotides) under Semelidae sp. STW-2017. RNAcentral describes it as "tRNA-Asp". It matches the Rfam family "tRNA". From Rfam's summary of the family: Transfer RNA (tRNA) molecules are approximately 80 nucleotides in length. Their secondary structure includes four short double-helical elements and three loops (D, anti-codon, and T loops). Lineage: Eukaryota; Metazoa; Mollusca; Bivalvia; Cardiida; Semelidae. The record is from RNAcentral.